Molecule: ribosomal RNA, 484 nt
Filed under: uncultured bacterium
Lineage: Bacteria
Description: partial 16S ribosomal RNA
Rfam family: Bacterial small subunit ribosomal RNA
Source: RNAcentral
AUUGAACGCUGGCGGCAGGCCUAACACAUGCAAGUCGAGCGGAUGAAGGGAGCUUGCUCCUGGAUUCAGCGGCGGACGGGUGAGUAAUGCCUAGGAAUCUGCCUGGUAGUGGGGGAUAACGUCCGGAAACGGGCGCUAAUACCGCAUACGUCCUGAGGGAGAAAGUGGGGGAUCUUCGGACCUCACGCUAUCAGAUGAGCCUAGGUCGGAUUAGCUAGUUGGUGGGGUAAAGGCCUACCAAGGCGACGAUCCGUAACUGGUCUGAGAGGAUGAUCAGCCACACUGGAACUGAGACACGGUCCAGACUCCUACGGGAGGCAGCAGUGGGGAAUAUUGGACAAUGGGCGAAAGCCUGAUCCAGCCAUGCCGCGUGUGUGAAGAAGGUCUUCGGAUUGUAAAGCACUUUAAGUUGGGAGGAAGGGCAGUAAGUUAAUACCUUGCUGUUUUGACGUUACCAAAAGAAUAAGCACCGGCCAACUUCGUG